This 253-nucleotide ribosomal RNA is filed under the name uncultured bacterium. RNAcentral describes it as "partial 16S ribosomal RNA". It matches the Rfam family "Bacterial small subunit ribosomal RNA", at positions 524 to 776 of the family's 1533-position model. The record is from RNAcentral.
UACGGAGGGUGCAAGCGUUAUCCGGAUUCACUGGGUUUAAAGGGAGCGUAGGUGGGUUGGUAAGUCAGUGGUGAAAUCCCCGAGCUUAACUUGGGAACUGCCAUUGAUACUAUCAGUCUUGAAUACUGUGGAGGUUAGCGGAAUAUGUCAUGUAGCGGUGAAAUGCUUAGAUAUCGGGAGGAACACCAGGGGCGAAGGCGGCGCACUGGACAGCAACUGACACUCAACUGCGAAAGCGUGGGGAGCAAACAGG